Molecule: long non-coding RNA, 773 nt
Organism: Solenopsis invicta (red fire ant)
Lineage: Eukaryota; Metazoa; Arthropoda; Insecta; Hymenoptera; Formicidae
Exons: 3
Source: RefSeq, a predicted model, not a curated record
GUUUACAACAAUGCUGAUUGUUAAUUUUUCCUUCGUUUAAAAAGUUGAAUUGGUUCCGGAAAAAGCGAUAAACGUCCCAAUUACGUAACGGAGCAUAUCGACGACGUCACAUUCCCCGAUUCGAAACGUCUCCACACGAUAACCGACGUUGGAUUCGCCGGAGGAGUCAGCGGCAUCUAAUUCUGAGGUCUAACCCAAUUUCCGUGGAAUGACCUAGGGUGCAGAUACGGAGAAGCAGGCAGAGUCAUAUAUACAGUUGGAAAACGCCUUUAUGGGUCCCCGCGCCUGUGGGGAUAGGACGCGAGGUAUGUGGGACUCACCAACCUAGAGUUCGCCGAUAUACUCACUAAAACCCAACUGUUUCCGGCGUCUGGGUUCGGGACGAACCAAACCUUGCCCCAAACCUAACCUAACCUUGUCCCAGUUAGAUUAUUAUCAAGUUUCUAUGAAAAAAUGAACUGCCUUAUAUCUUUUUAUCGUCACAAACCGCUCGAGGAAGAUUGAAUAACGUUGGCUUAUAUCUCGAGAAGAAUGAUCACUCUUGGCACGCGUUCAGACCUACGUCAAAAUGUUCUCUGACGCUAGCAUCAAUGAAAGAAGAAGAGAAUCUCCAACGGUCGAGAAGUUAUAUCUCUCUGUAGGCUUGACCAAAAAUACCAGACGUGAAUUAACGUCAAUGUGAUUUUCGCAACUUCUUGGCAGCGCGAUCAAAACAACUCGCACCAUAAUCGGUAUAAUUCUGACUUGAAAACGAACAGGUCGUAUAAUCGUAG